RNAcentral lists this ribosomal RNA (674 nucleotides) under Candidatus Woesearchaeota archaeon. RNAcentral's name for it is "bacterial SSU rRNA". It matches the Rfam family "Archaeal small subunit ribosomal RNA", at positions 1 to 680 of the family's 1478-position model. The record is from RNAcentral. Lineage: Archaea; Nanobdellati; Candidatus Woesearchaeota.
GAAUUCCCGUUGAUCCUGCGGGCGAUUGCUGCUAUUGGGAUUCGACUAAGCCAUGCAUGUCUAGGGUAGCAAUACACUGGCAAAAGGCUCAGUAACACGUCGAUAAUCUUCCCUGAGGUCAUGGAUAACCAUGGGAAACUGUGGCUAAACCGUGAUAGAGAAAAGAAUCUGGAACGAUCUUUUCUCGAAACUCGUGCCUCAGGAUGAGUUGGCGGCGGAUUAGGUUGUUGGUCGAGGUAAAGGCUCACCAAGCCCAUGAUCCGUAGGGGCCCUGAGAGGGGUAGCCCCGAGAAGGUCACUGAGACACUGGACCUAGCCCCACGGGGUGCAGCAGGCGCGGAACCUUUACAAUGCACGCAAGUGUGAUAAGGGGAUCCCAAGUGCUUAUGUUUUACAUAGGCUUUUGUGAAGGGUAAAAACCUUGACGAAUAAGUGGUGGGAAAGACUGGUGCCAGCAGCCGCGGUAACACCAGCGCCACAAGUGGCAAUCGACAUUAUUGGGCCUAAAGCGUCCGUAGCCGGUUUUGUAAAUCUUCUGUGAAAUUGUCAGGCCUAACCUGGCAACGUGCAGGAGACACUGCAAAACUUGGGACUGGGAGGCGUCAGAGGUAUGUCUAGGGGAGCGGUAAAAUGUGAUAAUCCUAGACAGACUACCUGUGGCGAAGGCGUCUGAC